RNAcentral lists this ribosomal RNA (264 nucleotides) under Clostridioides difficile. Its description in RNAcentral is "partial 23S ribosomal RNA". It matches the Rfam family "Bacterial large subunit ribosomal RNA", at positions 1855 to 2118 of the family's 2925-position model. The record is from RNAcentral. Lineage: Bacteria; Bacillati; Bacillota; Clostridia; Peptostreptococcales; Peptostreptococcaceae.
ACGCCUGCCCGGGGCUGGAAGGUUAAGGGGAUCUGUUAGAGCAAUCGAAGCAGUGAACUUAAGCCCCAGUAAACGGCGGCCGUAACUAUAACGGUCCUAAGGUAGCGAAAUUCCUUGUCGGGUAAGUGCCGACCCGCACGAAAGGCGUAACGAUUUGGGCACUGUCUCAACAACAGACUCGGUGAAAUUGUAAUUCCGGUGAAGAUGCCGGAUACCUGCGACAGGACGGAAAGACCCCAUGGAGCUUUACUGUAGCUUGACAUU